RNAcentral lists this long non-coding RNA (626 nucleotides) under Aedes aegypti (yellow fever mosquito). Its description in RNAcentral is "lncRNA AAEL027348". The record is from RNAcentral. Lineage: Eukaryota; Metazoa; Arthropoda; Insecta; Diptera; Culicidae.
AUACAAUACCUAUACUCAGAGUGAAAGGGAGUAACGAAAGUAAUGAAAUGACAAGAUGGAUACACUGAACGAAAACUUCAGUCUUCUAUUGAAUGAUUUGCAAUUCACUUGGCUUUAAAUCUUCAUAUUCCUCAUUUUGAAUGAAUAUAGAAGAAUAUGAUGCGUCUACCAGCUUAUGAAGAAGAAUCAUCCAAUUCUGAACUGAUUUUCAGUUUACAUCCGUAUGACAGUUGGUUGUCAGUUGAGUUAUAAUAACACAUAUGAAUAACAUACAAGUAUUGACAGAUUUUAUUAUCUGCCAUGUUCCAAACAUAAAAUCAUUCAAUUAUCGUCUAAGGUGUCAUUUGGAAAGCGAAUGAUUCAUAGUUCCAAAUCACUCCUGAAAAUCUUCUCUUAGUAUAAAUAUGGCGGCAGUGGUGUGGUUAGUUCUCCCAAAGAUUAGGCUUUUCUCCGUGGUUUUUACGAUGGAUUUUACAGUACAGGUUCCAUAUAAAAGGAUUUUGAUGUGGGGCACAGCAGUCGGCUGAUGUUCGCUUCAGGCAGGCGUUUUGCAGACAAAUUGACAUUUCCUUGUGAUAAUGCUUAACUUGACAAUAAACUAAAUAAAUUUAUGAGUGAAAUCAUCA